Molecule: long non-coding RNA, 666 nt
Organism: Rosa rugosa (rugosa rose)
Lineage: Eukaryota; Viridiplantae; Streptophyta; Magnoliopsida; Rosales; Rosaceae
Exons: 2
Source: RefSeq, a predicted model, not a curated record
CGGAGCCAAAACAGAAAAUCCAAAACCCUAGUGACGAAACCAACGUAGUAGCAGCUAGGAUUCAAAUCAUCCGUGCUCAGCUCGAAUCUGGCUUCAAUGGAGGUCGAUAAGGGUAUACCUAACAUUGAUGUGCCCUUUUGUGAGAUGUGAUAUAUUCAUUUCUUUCGAGGGUACUUUCAAUGGUGUCUACAACCUCUGUGCUAAUGCUAUCUCUUGGAAGAAACCCCCUGAAAGCACUGCAAAUCAAAUGUUUAUGGGGUAAGAUUGUGAUUCAUCAUAGGGAUUGAAUCAAAGAAAAGAGAAAAUAAGAGGAGGAAAGGUGAAAUGAAGGUAAAUGUUUAGAGUUGAGAGAUUCAUGUGAAGAGAUCAGACACUGAAAAACAUGAAUGUUUUGACCGAAGUUUAUUAAGUUCAUUGUCACCCACUCUCAAACCCAUAUAUUUGGAGAAGAGAUAUCGUUUGAAAUAGUUGAGAACUAAAAUGGGCAAAAGGUCCUGACGGAUUGAGCAUUGAGGGCUGAGAUGCAAAAGUUGACUGAUUAUUGACAAUUUGUUGAUAUUGUUGUAUGUUAUUAUUGUUUUCACUAUGCUUGCUUCAAAAAUGAGUACAUAUGACAUUCUGUAUUUGCUGGAAAAUGAGAAUAUAUGAGAUUACAAAGUUUAUUGA